Papaver somniferum (opium poppy) is the source of this 1634-nucleotide long non-coding RNA. RefSeq lists it as uncharacterized. Lineage: Eukaryota; Viridiplantae; Streptophyta; Magnoliopsida; Ranunculales; Papaveraceae. The transcript is spliced from 2 exons. The record is from RefSeq and is a predicted model, not a curated record.
UCAAGAUUUUGUUAGAAGAAUCAGAUUUCAAUGUAAACAGGAAUUGGUUUUGUGAAAGAUUUUUCUCAAAAUUUUUUCUUUAAAAUUCCAUAUAUGAGUAAUUAAAAACAUAAUCACCUAAAUAAGAAAAAGAUUAAUCCUUAGAAAUCAGAAUUUCAAAUUUUCUCUCUUUUUCUACUUCCCUUCCGAUUGUGGAUGGUAAAAACACUAUUUCCCUUAUUCAAUUUUCCUAUCUGUUAUUUCUUUUAGGCUGUUUAAUUGUUUCAACGAAGCUGACUGUUUUCCUCUUUCUUCAUGCUUGGGAAAGUUUCAAUCGCACGUUGCUGAAAGUAGCAACUUAACUCGGAGAAAAAAAUAGGCAAGCUUUAAGCUAUCUUUGCCGAAUGGAGAAUGGAGACUAUUGACGAAGGUUUGUUUCAUUUCCCCCUCAGGGUAAGAUCCCCAAAUCAUAUCAAUGUUUUGACAUCUAAUUCUUUUCAAAAUUAAUUAAAUGGGUUUGUACGUUUUUCGAUUUAAAAACUGUAGUCCACGCUUGUUUCAAAUCAUGAUUUUGUUAGAAGAAUCAGAUUUCAAUGUAAACAGGAAUUGGUUUUGUGAAAGAUUUUUCUCAAAAUUUUUGCUUUAAAAUUCCAUAUAUGAGUAAUUAAAAACAUAAUCAACUAAAUAAGAAAAAGAUUAAUCCUUAGAAAUCAGAAUUUCAGUUUUUCUCUUUUUUUCUACUUCCCUUCCGAUUGUGGAUGGUAAAAACACUAUUUCCCUUAUUCAAACUUCAAUUCAUCGUCGUCAUUCAUCGCCGAAUCAAAAACAUCGCUGAUUCUUCUAUAAAACGAUGAUUGAUACUAAUGAACCCUCGGGAGCUCGAGAAAAAUUAAAGAACAAAGCAAUUGCAACUGCCUCAAACGACGAAUAACACGACCACAGACAACAUGAUGAGGAUGACGCCGCUUGUGUAGGUGGUGGUGGUGAUUCUGAUAAUCAAACUCUCCAGGAAAUGUUCCCAAUUAUGGUAGCCUUAAUGAUGCCAGGUUCAAACGGGCAAUAUGUGAGUCCUAAUAAUUCUUUAAAACCAUGCCGCUUUUAUAAUAGCUUGUUUAUCCUAUAGAAGACAUUGGUGGCAAGUGAGAGCUUAUGUGGGUACAUGUCAAAUAGCAGUAUAGAUAGGCUAGAGAAGUGGUAAUAACGGGGCCUGCAAAUUGGGCUACAGCGUUAGGAUUGGAUUACUUCAAGGGCAUUGCAUUAAAUCACAUAAAUUCCCUCAUAUAUACUACAAAAUCAACAACCAAGUAAUGACAUUAUGGUUUUCAGAUAUAUAUAGUUUUGCUAACAUAAGCGUAUGUGUGGACAAGCGUAUGUCCAUGAUAUCUCUCGAAGUUCUUCUGGAGAAGCGUCGAAAAUCCAUGAUAAAACUCUGCUGAAAUAGUACGUCUUAAUACACAAGACCAAGAAUAUGAAUUUCUCCCACUGAUCUUGAGGUAUAUGCAUAAAUCUGUAAUAAUUUCAUCCAAAACUUGAGACAUUUAUAGCUUUGUUGAAUGUCAUAUACCAUUAUGGGAGGCUGCUUAAAUUUCAUACUUUUAUUUUUUAAAAUCUGUAGAUUAAAAUUUGUCACUAAUAAAGGCUAUUUUCACAUUUAA